CGCGUAGGCGGUCUGUUAAGUGUGGAGUGAAAUCCCUCGGCUCAACCGAGGACGUGCUUUGCAUACUGGUGGACUUGAGUCCGAGAGGGGGUGGUGGAAUUCCUGGUGUAGGGGUGAAAUCCGUAGAGAUCAGGAGGAACACCGUUGGCGAAGGCGGCCACCUGGAUCGGUACUGACGCUGAGGUGCGAAAGCGUGGGGAGCAAACA
RNAcentral lists this ribosomal RNA (207 nucleotides) under uncultured bacterium. Its description in RNAcentral is "partial 16S ribosomal RNA". It matches the Rfam family "Bacterial small subunit ribosomal RNA", at positions 568 to 774 of the family's 1533-position model. The record is from RNAcentral.